Arachis ipaensis is the source of this 195-nucleotide non-coding RNA. Lineage: Eukaryota; Viridiplantae; Streptophyta; Magnoliopsida; Fabales; Fabaceae. The record is from RefSeq and is a predicted model, not a curated record.
UUGUUUCUUGUUUUAUAUAUUGUGUAGAAGUUGCACCCACUCGUGAUCCCAAUGAAGAAGAUUCUGGUGUUGAGUCUGAUUUAGUACAUCUUGUUAAGUUGUUAUGGUUGGUUUGCAUUAAGAAGUUUAGCUAUUUUGUUGGAGAAGACACCAUAACUUUGCUAUCAGUUUAAUGACAAUUUAUUUUUAUUUUCA